AUACGGGGGGGACUAACGUUGUUCGGAUUUACUGGGCGUAAAGGGUGCGUAGGCGGACCUUCAAGUCGGAUGUGAAAACUAUAGGCUCAACUUAUAGCUUGCAUUCGAUACUGUCGGUCUUGAGUGAAUUAGAGGAAAGCGGAAUUCCAGGUGUAGCGGUGAAAUGCGUAGAUAUCUGGAGGAACACCAGUAGCGAAGGCGGCUUUCUGGGAUUAUACUGACGCUGAAGCACGAAGGCUAGGGGAGCAAACAGGAUUAGAAACCCUAGUAGUCC
This 274-nucleotide ribosomal RNA is filed under the name uncultured bacterium. Its description in RNAcentral is "partial 16S ribosomal RNA". It matches the Rfam family "Bacterial small subunit ribosomal RNA", at positions 523 to 796 of the family's 1533-position model. The record is from RNAcentral.